Molecule: ribosomal RNA, 1362 nt
Filed under: uncultured bacterium
Lineage: Bacteria
Description: bacterial SSU rRNA
Rfam family: Bacterial small subunit ribosomal RNA
Source: RNAcentral
GAUGAACGCUAGCUACAGGCUUAACACAUGCAAGUCGCAGGGUAACAUGAGGAAAGCUUGCUUUCCUUGAUGACGACUGGCGCACGGGUGGGUAACGCGUAUCCAACCUUCCCAUAACUACGGGAUAACCCGUUGAAAGACGGCCUAAUACCGUAUGACAUCGUUUGCUGACAUCAAAUAACGAUUAAAGGUUUAGCGGUUAUGGAUGGGGAUGCGUCUGAUUAGCUUGUUGGCGGGGUAACGGCCCACCAAGGCGACGAUCAGUAGGGGUUCUGAGAGGGAGGUCCCCCACAUUGGAACUGAGACACGGUCCAAACUCCUACGGGAGGCAGCAGUGAGGAAUAUUGGUCAAUGGGCGAGAGCCUGAACCACCCAAGUAGCGUGCAGGACGACGGCCCUAUGGGUUGUAAACUGCUUUUAUGUGGGGAUAAAGUGCGUGACGUGUCAUGCAUUGCAGGUACCACAUGAAUAAGGACCGGCUAUUUCCGUGCCAGCAGCCGCGGUAAUACGGAAGGUCCGGGCGUUAUCCGGAUUUAUUGGGGUUAAAGGGAGCGUAGGCUGUCUAUUAAGCGUGUUGUGAAAUAUACCGGCUCAACCGGUGGCUUGCAGCGCGAACUGGUCGACUUGAGUAUGCAGGAAGUAGGCGGAAUUCAUGGUGUAGCGGUGAAAUGCUUAGAUAUCAUGACGAACUCCGAUUGCGCAGGCAGCUUACUGUAGCAUAACUGACGCUGAUGCUCGAAAGUGCGGGUAUCAAACAGGAUUAGAUACCCUGGUAGUCCGCACGGUAAACGAUGGAUGCUCGCUAUUCGUCCUAUUUGGAUGAGUGGCCAAGUGAAAACAUUAAGCAUCCCACCUGGGGAGUACGCCGGCAACGGUGAAACUCAAAGGGAUUGACGGGGACCCGCACAAGCGGUGGAGCAUGUGGUUUAAUUCGAAGCAACGCGAAGAACCUUACCAAAUCUUGACAUCCUCUGACCCCUCUAGAGAUAGAGUUUUCCCCUUCGGGGGACAGAGUGACAGGUGGUGCAUGGUUGUCGUCAGCUCGUGUCGUGAGAUGUUGGGUUAAGUCCCGCAACGAGCGCAACCCUUAAGCUUAGUUGCCAUCAUUAAGUUGGGCACUCUAAGUUGACUGCCGGUGACAAACCGGAGGAAGGUGGGGAUGACGUCAAAUCAUCAUGCCCCUUAUGAUUUGGGCUACACACGUGCUACAAUGGACAAUACAAAGGGUAGCGAAACCGCGAGGUCAAGCAAAUCCCAUAAAGUUGUUCUCAGUUCGGAUUGUAGUCUGCAACUCGACUAUAUGAAGCUGGAAUCGCUAGUAAUCGUAGAUCAGCAUGCUACGGUGAAUACGUUCCCGGGUCU